This is a long non-coding RNA of Manacus vitellinus (golden-collared manakin), 348 nucleotides long. RefSeq lists it as uncharacterized. NCBI's taxonomy places the organism in Eukaryota, Metazoa, Chordata, Aves, Passeriformes, Pipridae. The transcript has 3 exons. The record is from RefSeq and is a predicted model, not a curated record.
GGUGGGACAAGAUGGGAUGGGAUAAUGCUGCCUCUGGCAGUGCCCAGGCUCCUGUAUCACCUCCAUAAUGGGCAGGGUGGGCUCCUCAGCCUGGGGCUGACCUGCAGGUCUAACAAGGCCAGGGAGAAACAACUACCAUCUCUGACAAUGGGGAGCGGGUGCAAGAAGAGUGAACAUCGCUGUUUGGGCAUUGUAUCCACCUGGCUCAAGGAAAACUGUCCAGGAUGAGCUCCCCUCUAGCAGCUGAGGUAAAACAGCAUGAGGAAGCAUGAGGAUUUAUGAAGUGCAGUGAAACAGCCUGCACAGGCAUGUGGAUUUCAUGAAGGAUAUCUUCUGAAGGAGAGUGCA